This is a long non-coding RNA of Osmerus eperlanus (European smelt), 833 nucleotides long. RefSeq lists it as uncharacterized. The transcript has 5 exons. The record is from RefSeq and is a predicted model, not a curated record. NCBI's taxonomy places the organism in Eukaryota, Metazoa, Chordata, Actinopteri, Osmeriformes, Osmeridae.
CUUGUUCAUUCAAACACCACUCCCCCACACUCAACACAUAGGCAGUGUCUGCAUUCGGUCUUCCAUCUCCCACUCUUCCUCUGUCUCCCUACCGGCAUGCACAGGCGACUGCUCUAUCUCUGGGUGACUUGGGUUCUGGUUCUACCCUUGUGCUGGGGAAACCAAGAUGAGGAAUACGAUGACGUUACUCCAACGCCAGACUAUGACUACAGUGCCACUUUGGACUACAUAUUUUACAGUAAUAGCAGCCAGCCAAUUGACUACAGUUUGUUUGAAAUAAUAAGGGACGAAAAUGAAGAUGAGCCAGGCAAUCCUAGGAAUGAGGCUGCUGUGAUUGGCCAAUCAUGCCUAGUGCUGAUCCUAGGAUUGGCUGCUCAACAGAUCUGUCGCUUAGCAUGAAGGAGGCCGUUCAAAACAGAGCAUAGAUAUGCUGGAUGUCGGACAGAGCAGAAGCCUACUGACUGACCUAGUAUGUCCCAUGGUUCAUAUCAGUAGUGCAACCAGGAAAUGCAGCAUGUGAAGUUUCUCAGCACGAUGAUAAUACAACAAUGAUUGUAUGGACUCUUUAGGGCACUUUUGUUUUUGAGAUGAUAUACAUUUGUGAGUGCACAAAUUUGAAUUGUACUUAAUUCUAAUAAGGAUCCAAUCGAUUUUUACAAAAUUGAAGGUAAAUACAAUUGCCUUGAUAAUGCCAUUCAAAUAACAUUUUCAUUCAAUUUAAAGCCACAACCCCAAGUCAACCAAAUGUAUCACCCCAUAUUGUCUUUGAGAACAUUUUCUACAACAUUUUUUACUGUUUAUACAAUAAAUACAUUAUUAAAUUUUAUGUGUCA